RNAcentral lists this ribosomal RNA (911 nucleotides) under uncultured Bacteroidota bacterium. Its description in RNAcentral is "bacterial SSU rRNA". It matches the Rfam family "Bacterial small subunit ribosomal RNA", at positions 16 to 917 of the family's 1533-position model. The record is from RNAcentral. Lineage: Bacteria; Pseudomonadati; Bacteroidota.
AUUAUGGCUCAGGAUGAACGCUAGCUACAGGCUUAACACAUGCAAGUCGAGGGGAAACGAUAUUGGAAGCUUGCUUCCGAUGGGCGUCGACCGGCGCACGGGUGAGUAACGCGUAUCCAACCUACCCACCACUUGGGGAUAACCUUGCGAAAGUAAGACUAAUACCCAAUGAUAUCUCUAGAAGACGUCUGAAAGAGAUUAAAGAUUUAUCGGUGAUGGAUGGGGAUGCGUCUGAUUAGCUUGUUGGCGGGGUAACGGCCCACCAAGGCUACGAUCAGUAGGGGUUCUGAGAGGAAGGUCCCCCACAUUGGAACUGAGACACGGUCCAAACUCCUACGGGAGGCAGCAGUGAGGAAUAUUGGUCAAUGGACGAGAGUCUGAACCAGCCAAGUAGCGUGCAGGAUGACGGCCCUAUGGGUUGUAAACUGCUUUUAUAAGGGAAUAAAGUGAGUCUCGUGAGACUCUUUGCAUGUACCUUAUGAAUAAGGACCGGCUAAUUCCGUGCCAGUAGCCGCGGUAAUACGGAAGGUCCGGGCGUUAUCCGGAUUUAUUGGGUUUAAAGGGAGCGUAGGCCGGAGAUUAAGCGUGUUGUGAAAUGUAGAUGCUCAACAUCUGCACUGCAGCGCGAACUGGUUUCCUUGAGUACGCACAAAGUGGGCGGAAUUCGUGGUGUAGCGGUGAAAUGCUUAGAUAUCACGAAGAACUCCGAUUGCGAAGGCAGCUCACUGGAGCGCAACUGACGCUGAAGCUCGAAAGUGCGGGUAUCGAACAGGAUUAGAUACCCUGGUAGUCCGCACGGUAAACGAUGGAUGCCCGCUGUUGGUCUGAAUAGGUCAGCGGCCAAGCGAAAGCAUUAAGCAUCCUACCUGGGGAGUACGCCGGCAACGGUGCAACUCAAAGGAAUUGACGGA